GGCGUCCGAGUUGUAAUUUGUAGAGGAUGCUAUUGGGUUGCCACCGGUCUAAGUUCCUUGGAACAGGACGUCACAGAGGGUGAGAAUCCCGUACGUGACCGGCCAGGCGCCCUCCGUAUAGCUCCUUCGACGAGUCGGGUUGUUUGGGAAUGCAGCCCUAAAUGGGAGGUAAAUUUCUUCUAAAGCUAAAUACCGGCCAGAGACCGAUAGCGCACAAGUAGAGUGAUCGAAAGAUGAAAAGCACUUUGGAAAGAGAGUUAAAAAGCACGUGAAAUUGUUGAAAGGGAAGCGCUUGCGAUCAGUCUCGACGGCGGCCGUUCGGCCUCUCUUCUGAGUGGUUUAUUCGGUCGCCGCCGGGCCAGCAUCAGUUUCGGCGGUCGGACAAAGGCGCGGGGAAUGUAGCUCCCUCGGGAGUGUUAUAGCCCCGCGUGCAAUACGGCCCGCCGGGACUGAGGUCCGCGCUUCGGCUAGGAUGCUGGCGAAAUGGUCGUAAGCGGCCCGUCUUGAAACACGGACCAAGGAGUCUAACAUCUACGCGAGUGUUUGGGUGUCAAACCCGUGCGCGCAAUGAAAGUGAACGGAGGUGGGAACCGCAAGGUGCACCAUCGACCGAUCCUGAUGUCUUCGGAUGGAUUUGAGUAAGAGCGUAGCUGUUGGGACCCGAAAGAUGGUGAACUAUGCCUGAAUAGGGUGAAGCCAGAGGAAACUCUGGUGGAGGCUCGCAGCGGUUCUGACG
This 736-nucleotide ribosomal RNA is filed under the name Elsinoe pitangae. Its description in RNAcentral is "eukaryotic LSU rRNA". It matches the Rfam family "Eukaryotic large subunit ribosomal RNA", at positions 133 to 891 of the family's 3401-position model. Lineage: Eukaryota; Fungi; Ascomycota; Dothideomycetes; Myriangiales; Elsinoaceae. The record is from RNAcentral.